GGCCAUUUGUGAUUGUCAUGCAGAGAAGCAGCUCUGCUGAAAUUAGGGAACUGAUUGUUCGCUGUAUUUCACAGAUGGUCCUUAGUCGCGUUAAUAAUGUGAAAUCUGGAUGGAAAAGUGUUUUUAUGGUUUUUACAGCUGCUGCCGCUGAUGAGCGUAAGAAUAUUGUCUUGUUGGCAUUUGAAACCAUGGAAAAAAUAGUGCGGGAAUAUUUUCCUUACAUAACUGAGACAGAGACAACAACUUUCACAGAUUGUGUUAGAUGCCUCACAACCUUCACAAAUAGUAGAUUUAAUAGUGAUGUAAGCCUCAAUGCCAUUGCGUUUCUCCGGUUUUGUGCUGUCAAACUUGCAGAUGGAGGACUUGUAUGGAAUGAAAAGAGCAGGGCUGAUGAUGCAUCCACUUCAGUGGGAAAUGAGGUUGCUUCAGAUAUUCAAGCAUUCAGUGACAAAGAUGAUCAUGCAUCCUUUUGGAUUCCAUUGCUCACAGGGCUAUCAAGACUAACAUCUGACCCCAGAUCAGCUAUUCGAAAGAGUGCAUUAGAAGUGCUAUAUAACAUUCUCAAUGAUCAUGGUCAUCUAUUCUCUCAGUCAUUUUGGAUUGAUGUUUUCAACUCUGUUAUUUUACCCAUAUUCAGCAGUGUAUGCGACAAGAAAGAUAAUUUUAUUCAAGAUGGUCAGCAUUCACCAACUGCAGCAUCUCAACAUCAGGAAGGAAAUGCAUGGGAUCCUGAAACUUCUGCAUUGGCGGCUCAGCGUCUAGUAGAAUUAUUUUUUAGCNUUCAAUACAGUUUCGUCUCAACUAUCAAGUGUGGUAUCUGUAUUGACUGGAUUCAUUAGAAGUCCCAUUCAGGGACCUGCUAGCACUGGGGUUGCUGCAUUAUUGGGAUUGGCAGGUCAACUGGGCAGUAGACUUUCUGAGGAUGAAUGGAGAGAGAUCUUUCUAGCUCUAAAGGAAGCUGCUGCAUCAACAUUACCUGGUUUUGUGAAGGUUUUAAGAAGCAUGGAUGAUAUUGAGAUGCCUGAUGCCUCUGAAUCUUAUGCUGAUGUUGAUAUCUCGUCUGAUCAUAGCUUCACCAAUGACGAUCUGGAGGAUGACAAUCUCCAAACUGCAGGUUAUGUGGUUUCAAGAGUAAAAAGUCACAUUGCUGUGCAGUUACUAAUUAUUAAGGUUGUGACUGAUUUAUGCAAAGCACACAUGCAAUUCUUGUCGGCUUCCAAUGUUGGAAUUCUUCUUGAUAUAUUUUCAUCUAUUGCAUCACAUUCCCACCAACUGAACUCUGAGGUGAUUUUGCUGAAGAAACUGAAGAAAGCUUGUUCUGUACUGGAGCUUUCUUAUCCUCCCAUGGUUCAUUUUGAAAAUGAGUCGCACCAAAAUUACCUGAACUUCCUUCAUGAUUUGCUAUUGGAUAAUCCACCCAUGUCUAAGGAGAUGAAUAUAGAAUUGCGGCUUGUGGAAGUAUGUGCAAAAAUAUUGCAGAUAUAUCUGAAUUGUACUGGGUCUCAAUCCGCACGUCAGAAACCGGUUAAUAAGCUCGUGGUACACUGGAUUCUUCCAUUGGGAUCAGCCAAAAAGGAAGAACUGGCAGCAAGAACUACUUUGCUUGUGUCAGCUUUGCGUGUACUGAGUGAUUUAGAAAGGGAUUCCUUUAGGAGGUAUGUGUCACAAUUCUUUCCUUUGUUUGUAGAUCUUGUGCAGAGUGAGCAUAGCUCAGGAGAAGUACAGGACAUUCUAAGCAACAUUUUCCAAUCAUGUAUAGGCCCAGUAAUAAUGGGAUGAAAUCGUUACUGUAGUAGUACACCCAAGGAUAGCUUCAUUAAAUCUCAUUUUUGAUCUCUUUAAUUAGCCGGAGUAUGAGCCUUUAUAUUUUUUACUUAUAUCAUAUAUAUUUUUGUUGUAUCCUAAGGCUGAAAAUUAUCUGC
This 1922-nucleotide unclassified non-coding RNA is filed under the name Hevea brasiliensis (rubber tree). Lineage: Eukaryota; Viridiplantae; Streptophyta; Magnoliopsida; Malpighiales; Euphorbiaceae. The record is from RNAcentral.